CCAAACAUAAAAAGUUUUUUCAGAGGAACAUUAAACAAACCUUCAAAAGGAGGUUUCAACCAGUUUUAACCAACAUGGUUUUCUCCCCUUUUCUCUUCCAGAUUUGGUUGCCAAUGAGCAACUCAGAUACCCAUGGUUAUUAUGCUCAUUUUUACUGUAACGACAGGCUUGUCUCCAAACUUUUAUUUGUAUAUGGCAUCCCAGUUUUUAGUAGGGAUCGCAUAUGGUAGAUGAUACUAGGUAAAAUCCUUUCCAUUCCAAACAAACCUACGUUCUAAAGGAAUAAACAUGAGAUAACAGAACUCAGUCAAUGAUUUGUCAGUCAGCCGGUCAUAUUAAGUUGUUUACCAUUACUACAUGUUCCUUCCACACAGCAACUGAAUGGGUCGGAGUGACAAAACGUUCUUAUGCGUCUUGUUUGAGUCAGACGUUCGGUGGAGUUGGCCAGUGCAUCCUUGCUGGCAUGAUCUUCUUCAUCCGAGACUGGAGACUUGCCCAGUUUGGAAGAGCGUCGUUAGGG
Long non-coding RNA from Oncorhynchus gorbuscha (pink salmon), 520 nucleotides. RefSeq lists it as uncharacterized. NCBI's taxonomy places the organism in Eukaryota, Metazoa, Chordata, Actinopteri, Salmoniformes, Salmonidae. The transcript has 3 exons. The record is from RefSeq and is a predicted model, not a curated record.